Molecule: ribosomal RNA, 843 nt
Filed under: uncultured archaeon
Lineage: Archaea
Description: bacterial SSU rRNA
Rfam family: Archaeal small subunit ribosomal RNA
Source: RNAcentral
UGCGAGUCAUUGUAGCAAUACAAGGCAGACGGCUCAGUAACGCGUAGUCAAUCUACCCUAUGGACGGGAAUAACCUCGGGAAACUGAGAAUAAUGCCCGACAGAACAUUAUACCUGGAACGGUUUAUGUUUCAAAUGAUUUAUCGCCGUAGGAUGGGACUGCGGCCUAUCAGUUUGUUGGUGAGGUAAUGGCCCACCAAGACUAUUACAGGUACGGGCUCUGAGAGGAGUAGCCCGGAGAUGGGUACUGAGACACGGACCCAGGCCCUAUGGGGCGCAGCAGGCGAGAAAACUUUGCAAUGUGCGAAAGCACGACAAGGUUAAUCCGAGUGGUUUCUGCUAAAGAAACCUUCUGCUAGUCCUAGAAACACUAGUGAAUAAGGGGUGGGCAAGUUCUGGUGUCAGCCGCCGCGGUAAAACCAGCACCUCAAGUGGUCAGGAUGAUUAUUGGGCCUAAAGCAUCCGUAGCUCGUUUUGUAAGUUUUCGGUUAAAUCCAUACGCUUAACGUAUGGGCUGCCGGGAAUACUGCAUAACUAGGAAGUGGGAGAGGUAGACGGUACUCGGUAGGAAGGGGUAAAAUCCUUUGAUCUAUUGAUGACCAUCUGUGGCGAAGGCGGUCUACCAGAACACGUUCGACGGUGAGGGAUGAAAGCUGGGGGAGCAAACCGGAUUAGAUACCCGGGUAGUCCCAGCUGUAAACUAUGCAAACUCAGUGAUGCAUUGGCUUGUGGCCAAUGCAGUGCUGCAGGGAAGCCGUUAAGUUUGCCGCCUGGGAAGUACGUACGCAAGUAUGAAACUUAAAGGAAUUGGCGGGGGAGCACCACAAGGGGUGAAGCCUGCGGU